This 376-nucleotide ribosomal RNA is filed under the name uncultured bacterium. RNAcentral describes it as "bacterial SSU rRNA". It matches the Rfam family "Bacterial small subunit ribosomal RNA", at positions 28 to 404 of the family's 1533-position model. The record is from RNAcentral.
GACGAACGCUGGCGGCGUGCUUAACACAUGCAAGUCGAGCGGUAAGGCCCUUUCGGGGGUACACGAGCGGCGAACGGGUGAGUAACACGUGGGUGACCUGCCCUCAGCUCUGGGAUAAGCCUGGGAAACCGGGUCUAAUACUGGAUAUGACUCCAUGACGCAUGUUGUGGGGUGGAAAGCCUUGUGCGGCUGAGGAUGGGCCCGCGGCCUAUCAGCUUGUUGGUGGGGUGANGGCCUACCAAGGCGACGACGGGUAGCCGGCCUGAGAGGGCGACCGGCCACACUGGGACUGAGACACGGCCCAGACUCCUACGGGAGGCAGCAGUGGGGAAUCUUGCGCAAAUGGGCGAAAGCCUGACGCAGCGACGCCGCGUGA